AUCAUCAUCAUAUUAUUCCAUUCAUCUUUACAUAAUCAUCAUCAUGCAACAUGAAUCAAAAGUCAACAAAAGUCAAGUUUUUGGCAAAUGACAACAAUAAUCACACACUAUCCUAACCAAAACCUUGCAUCCAAUUCAUCUUCCACUUCAAGUUUCUUCACAUCGAAGAAAUGUUAAAAACUUGAGUCAAACCUUCCACAUUGCUAUCAAUUUUCAUCCCAGUCCAUUGAAUCCUUACCCAACAUCAU
Molecule: long non-coding RNA, 248 nt
Filed under: Lathyrus oleraceus (garden pea)
Lineage: Eukaryota; Viridiplantae; Streptophyta; Magnoliopsida; Fabales; Fabaceae
Description: Pisum sativum (pea) long non-coding RNA (PSAT_LNC019109)
Source: RNAcentral